This 72-nucleotide transfer RNA is filed under the name Camelus bactrianus (Bactrian camel). It matches the Rfam family "tRNA". From Rfam's summary of the family: Transfer RNA (tRNA) molecules are approximately 80 nucleotides in length. Their secondary structure includes four short double-helical elements and three loops (D, anti-codon, and T loops). RNAcentral also lists the same sequence under 1 other name. Lineage: Eukaryota; Metazoa; Chordata; Mammalia; Artiodactyla; Camelidae. The record is from Rfam by way of RNAcentral.
GGGGGUAUAGCUCAGUGGUAGGGCGCAUGCUUGGCAUGCACGAGGUCCUGGAUUCAAUCCCCAGUACCUCCA